RNAcentral lists this ribosomal RNA (395 nucleotides) under unidentified eubacterium clone pX1. RNAcentral describes it as "bacterial SSU rRNA". It matches the Rfam family "Bacterial small subunit ribosomal RNA", at positions 1094 to 1482 of the family's 1533-position model. The record is from RNAcentral.
GAGCGCAACCCUCGUUCCAUGUUGCCAGCGGGUUAUGCCGGGAACUCAUGGGAGACUGCCGGGGUCAACUCGGAGGAAGGUGGGGAUGACGUCAAAUCAUCAUGCCCCUUAUGUCUUGGGCUUCACGCAUGCUACAAUGGCCGGUACAAUGGGUUGCGAUACUGUGAGGUGGAGCUAAUCCCUAAAAGCCGGUCUCAGUUCGGAUUGGGGUCUGCAACUCGACCCCAUGAAGUCGGAGUCGCUAGUAAUCGCAGAUCAGCAANGCUGCGGUGAAUACGUUCCCGGGCCUUGUACACACCGCCCGUCAAGUCACGAAAGUUGGUAACACCCGAAGCCGAUGGCCUAACCACCUUGUGUGGGGGGAGUCGUCGAAGGUGGGACUGGCGAUUGGGACU